UGGUAGUUAUCAGUCUACUAGUGUCUCCUUGUAGUUUUGUUUUGGAUUUUGCUAGCAAGUUUUUGUUUUCCUUUUUUGAUUAUUAAAUACUUUUAGUUUAUUCUGCACUUGGGUCCACCUCUCCUUGUUUUCCAACCAUUCAUGACAAUUUGUAUCUUGUUGUCAGAGCAUCUAGGAGGGAUGUUACAGCAACUACAACAACUACCAAUCUAGUUGAAGGCUCUUUCCUCUUGGAUGGAGUUUGUUCUUUUUUCACAUUCAAUUUCACCACUGUGUUCUCUCCAUAUUGAUCUCUACUGAGUUGCUGAUUGUUUGACCCCUACCGGCCACCGUACACAUGUGAGUCACAGAGUUGAUCAGGUUAAUUAAAUAUAUAAUAUCUAAAAUUACACAUCAUGAUUUUUAGAAUAAUUGAUUUUUUUUAAUCAACAAAGUAACAAGUGAAACUGAAGAAAAAACAUUGAGGAAUAAAUGGAACAGAAUUAGAAUCUGAAAUGUAAUUGUGUUAAAGUAUAAAGUAACAAAAUAGUACCAAUUAAAAAGUUAAUUUAAAAAUAAUCUUUAGUUAGGCUAAAUGUAUGUUUCCUUCAUGCAAGCAUUACUGUGUGCCUGAAGGGAAACUAACCCUACCUUACAUGCAACCUAUUUUCCACAAAUUACUUCACUACUUCAUGAGCUCAGAUUUCCUGAUCAUGUAACAUUAGCACACCUGACUGUGACAAUUUGACGCUUGGUGUGAACUAGGGCUGUCAGCAGAAGUGAAUUGUUUUAGAUUAAUUGAGGUCCCAAAUUAAUGCAAUCUUGUCAUUUGAAUCGCCAUUAAUCUCAUGAUAUUUUGUCCCUUUGGUCACACUGUGGAUAAGCCUCCGUCGCGUCUCUCUGUAGGCACAGUGAUGGAAAGAACAACACAGCUGCGUCUUUGAAUGUGUCAUUUCAAUUGUAGACAGCUCAGUUUAAAAGUCAAAUGUAAUAUCCACCGUUUGACAUCAACAUUUCACUAUUCUUGCUGUUCAUUUUAGCUGUUAUAUUUGGUUUUUGACCUGUAACGAGUUGGCUUUUUCUGAUCCACAAGGUGAUCCUUACUUUAUACCAAAAUAAAAGCAGGGUCGAAUUCAAACAGCAAGUACUCUCAACUUAAGACAGUACAAACAUUUAAAAUAAAUAAAACUUCUGUUAAUAAUCUGUGACUAACUUCAGUGUCUUCAAGAAGGAUUCAUGAUAAACUUAACAGAGUCUGUUUCCCCUUUUUGUUGU
This is a non-coding RNA of Labrus bergylta (ballan wrasse), 1254 nucleotides long. Lineage: Eukaryota; Metazoa; Chordata; Actinopteri; Labriformes; Labridae. The record is from RefSeq and is a predicted model, not a curated record.